This 255-nucleotide ribosomal RNA is filed under the name uncultured bacterium. RNAcentral describes it as "partial 16S ribosomal RNA". It matches the Rfam family "Bacterial small subunit ribosomal RNA", at positions 524 to 776 of the family's 1533-position model. The record is from RNAcentral.
UACGUAGGGGGGCGAGCGUUGUCCGGAUUUAUUGGGCGUAAAGAGCUCGUAGGCGGUUCGAUAAGUCGGACGUGAAAUCUCCACGCUCAACGUGGAGGGGCCGUUCGAUACUGUCGUGACUCGAGUCCGGUAGGGGAGUGUGGAAUUCCCGGUGUAGCGGUGAAAUGCGCAGAUAUCAGGAAGAACACCAAUGGCGAAGGCGGGACUCUGGGCCGAUACUGACGCUGAGGAGCGAAAGCGUGGGGAGCAAACAGG